AUUUGGGAAGCUCCAAGAGCAUUAUUUUGAAGCAAUAAAGGAAGGUUCCACCUCUCGAAUA
Molecule: transfer RNA, 61 nt
Filed under: Metacrangonyx goulmimensis
Lineage: Eukaryota; Metazoa; Arthropoda; Malacostraca; Amphipoda; Metacrangonyctidae
Description: transfer RNA Phenylalanine
Source: RNAcentral